CGGAUUAGCGGCGGACGGGUGAGUAACACGUGGGUAACCUGCCUCAUAGAGGGGAAUAGCCUCCCGAAAGGGAGAUUAAUACCGCAUAACAUUGCAGUUUCGCAUGAAACAGCAAUUAAAGGAGCAAUCCGCUAUGAGAUGGACCCGCGGCGCAUUAGCUAGUUGGUAAGGUAAUGGCUUACCAAGGCGACGAUGCGUAGCCGACCUGAGAGGGUGAUCGGCCACAUUGGGACUGAGACACGGCCCAGACUCCUACGGGAGGCAGCAGUGGGGAAUAUUGCACAAUGGGGGAAACCCUGAUGCAGCAACGCCGCGUGAGUGAUGACGGUCUUCGGAUUGUAAAGCUCUGUCUUUGGGGACGAUAAUGACGGUACCCAAGGAGGAAGCCACGGCUAACUACGUGCCAGCAGCCGCGGUAAUACGUAGGUGGCGAGCGUUGUCCGGAUUUACUGGGCGUAAAGGGAGCGUAGGCGGAUUUUUAAGUGGGAUGUGAAAUACCCGGGCUCAACCUGGGUGCUGCAUUCCAAACUGGGAAUCUAGAGUGCAGGAGGGGAGAGUGGAAUUCCUAGUGUAGCGGUGAAAUGCCUAGAGAUUAGGAAGAACACCACUGGCGAAGGCCGACUCUCUGGACUGUAACUGACGCUGAGGCUCGAAAGCGUGGGGA
RNAcentral lists this ribosomal RNA (664 nucleotides) under Clostridium sp. T55CN1. RNAcentral describes it as "bacterial SSU rRNA". It matches the Rfam family "Bacterial small subunit ribosomal RNA", at positions 88 to 767 of the family's 1533-position model. Lineage: Bacteria; Bacillati; Bacillota; Clostridia; Eubacteriales; Clostridiaceae. The record is from RNAcentral.